AUGCCGGUUUUUUUUAAAACCACAUAUUUUUUCAAGAUAUUUCCAU
This is a non-coding RNA of Picea glauca (white spruce), 46 nucleotides long. The record is from Rfam. Lineage: Eukaryota; Viridiplantae; Streptophyta; Pinopsida; Pinales; Pinaceae.